UGGGGAAUAUUGCACAAUGGGCGCAAGCCUGAUGCAGCCAUGCCGCGUGUGUGAAGAAGGCCUUCGGGUUGUAAAGCACUUUCAGCGAGGAGGAAGGGUAGUGUGUUAAUAGCACAUUGCAUUGACGUUACUCGCAGAAGAAGCACCGGCUAACUCCGUGCCAGCAGCCGCGGUAAUACGGAGGGUGCAAGCGUUAAGCGGAAUUACUGGGCGUAAAGCGCACGCAGGCGGUUUGUUAAGUCAGAUGUGAAAUCCCCGCGCUUAACGUGGGAACUGCAUUUGAAACUGGCAAGCUAGAGUCUUGUAGAGGGGGGUAGAAUUCCAGGUGUAGCGGUGAAAUGCGUAGAGAUCUGGAGGAAUACCGGUGGCGAAGGCGGCCCCCUGGACAAAGACUGACGCUCAGGUGCGAAAGCGUGGGGAGCAAACA
RNAcentral lists this ribosomal RNA (427 nucleotides) under uncultured bacterium. RNAcentral describes it as "partial 16S ribosomal RNA". It matches the Rfam family "Bacterial small subunit ribosomal RNA", at positions 355 to 774 of the family's 1533-position model. The record is from RNAcentral.